GUAAAGCCUGUGGAGAGAGGUGAGAUAAAUGGGGCAUGGUGAGGAAAGGGACCCACGCUGAACUUCAUCAGAGACCGUGAUGAAGAGACAAAAGAAAAGAGAAUAGAACUUGCAGGAGCCAUCAUUUGCUUUAAAGGGGAUCAGAAGCACAUGCCAUGAGUCAAAGAAAAGGCGAUAAUGCUGACAGCAGCAAAACAGCACUUUCAUGGCAUUCCGCCUUAUUUGGAACCACACAAGUAGCUUUUUUUUUGUUAUGAAAAAAGGAAUUUGGCAAAACAACAAAAGUUAAAUUUCUAUUUUAAGCUGGUGCCGAGGAAUAACAAGACAAUGAGUCACAGCCAUCCACCUCUGUUGUCGUGACACUUCAAUCUAAGAAUGUUCUUCCUUCCUUCCAUCCUGUCUCUGUAAUGCAAAGCCACAGUGCUGCACUAUAUUGAUAUCCACCAGGAAACUUCAUGUGUUUAUUUUAUAAAAUCAAGGUGUCUCUGAUGUGUAACCAGGUUUGAGAACCAGAGGCCAGGGAAUCUUGAAGUGGAGGAGUACACUCACUUAUAGAAGUGAGGCCUGGAUCUUCUCUUUGAGCAACAUUCUAAAGAAGCAACCCUGCAAGAGACAGCGCAGGUGGCUGCCCAUGUAACUGGGCAUUGAGGUGGCCGAUCACUGCUCAUCUGCCUCUGGACUAUCGCCCUCUGCCUAGUGACACCCUUCCACAUCUUGGAUCUGCCGCCAACUGGGCUGGACUCAGGACAGCUCUACUCAGGAUUCAGCCUGCUGCCCAGAACUUGUUCACAUAGAUGCAUGUAACCAAUUCAUGAGGCUGUGGAUGGAAAGUCCAGAGCCACAAACAGAGACUCAUGGACAUGGACAAUAGACUCGUGGUAACCGUAGAGUCGCGGGGAGAGGGAAGCGGGUAGUAGAUGGGGUAAAAAGAGGUCAAAUAUGUGAUGACAGAAAGAAAUCUAACUAUGGGAGGUAAACACACAGUGUAAAUAUAUCUAUGCCUUACUGUUAAA
Molecule: long non-coding RNA, 1013 nt
Organism: Pteropus alecto (black flying fox)
Lineage: Eukaryota; Metazoa; Chordata; Mammalia; Chiroptera; Pteropodidae
Exons: 3
Source: RefSeq, a predicted model, not a curated record